Molecule: long non-coding RNA, 454 nt
Organism: Mastomys coucha (southern multimammate mouse)
Lineage: Eukaryota; Metazoa; Chordata; Mammalia; Rodentia; Muridae
Exons: 2
Source: RefSeq, a predicted model, not a curated record
UAACCAGCUGGGAGAGACCGGAUCUACUUCACUGUCCCCACAGCCGGCACAACGCUUUACUUCUCUCCCACCCCUCCCCCACGCCUUUGGGUCUCUGGGGAAACCAAGCUUGGAGGUCUGCUUCAGAUGCCAAGGUCAGCAGAAUUCAGAGACAGCCUUGGGCCAAGACUGAGCCAGACCAAGGUAGCCACGUCCACCUACCUGGGUUCUAGCGGAGGGUUCUGAGGACCCUCACAGUGGCCCGGCUGUGCUAGGGAACCCCAACGGUGCAGAACAGAGCCACUGCACCCAGAAAACAGCCCCGAGGCUCCUGGCAGACCCCCGUAAGUUCCAGCUGGGGAAGAUUCUGAAUCCUUUUCCAGAGAGAGUUGCGCAGAUCGCUGAUCGCGUGUGUGUGUUUUCAAAGCUAGGCAAAGGAAACAGCAGCCAAUUAAAAUGAAAUAUUUUCAGUUCC